Molecule: non-coding RNA, 81 nt
Organism: Danio rerio (zebrafish)
Lineage: Eukaryota; Metazoa; Chordata; Actinopteri; Cypriniformes; Danionidae
Source: the annotation of a RefSeq genome assembly
UAAUCGUGGCUGAGUGGUUAAGGCGAUGGACUAGAAAUUCAUUGGGGUCUCCCCGUGCAGGUUCAAAUCCUGCCGAUGUAG